GACAACUACAGUGAAGAGAGAGAGAGAGAGAGAAAAAAAAAUUGCCGGUAAAUUUCACGGUCAAACACGCACACACAUGCGUGGCUGAGAGGGUUAGAUACGCGUGUUGUACGAGCUACUAAGGAGUAAACAGGAGUACGUAGCUUAGCAAUCGCUAUAAGAGCAUGUGGCACAAAAAUGUAUACCUUUAGACAAGCACGAAAAUCCAGAGGAACUUAAAACGGCCUCUCUUUCCUUCAAACUCCGGGCGCGACAGUAAGUAUGAAACGUAUAUUGGAAAUUAAAGUGGCUCUUUCCGUUUCGUAGCAACAUGCUUACUUGGAUGAUGAUGGUUGCACUUACCUCCGUUGAGUUCGCACAGCAAAAAGGUGACCGAAGCGGAAGUAACAACCUUUAAUACUGACCCCGGUGCGGCGGCGAGCAAGUCCACCGGUCUGAUAACGUUGCUUCGAUUAGAUAACCUCAGCAUAUGCCGGCAGCCAGUCUUAGAA
Anopheles stephensi (Asian malaria mosquito) is the source of this 491-nucleotide long non-coding RNA. RefSeq lists it as uncharacterized. The transcript has 2 exons. Lineage: Eukaryota; Metazoa; Arthropoda; Insecta; Diptera; Culicidae. The record is from RefSeq and is a predicted model, not a curated record.